GGACGGGUGGCCGAGUGGCUAAAGGCAGCAGACUGUAAAUCUGCCGGACUCAGUCCUACGGAGGUUCGAAUCCUUCCCCGUCCACCA
This 87-nucleotide transfer RNA is filed under the name Bryobacterales bacterium. Its description in RNAcentral is "tRNA-Tyr". It matches the Rfam family "tRNA". From Rfam's summary of the family: Transfer RNA (tRNA) molecules are approximately 80 nucleotides in length. Their secondary structure includes four short double-helical elements and three loops (D, anti-codon, and T loops). Lineage: Bacteria; Pseudomonadati; Acidobacteriota; Terriglobia; Bryobacterales. The record is from RNAcentral.